RNAcentral lists this long non-coding RNA (397 nucleotides) under Mytilus galloprovincialis (Mediterranean mussel). The record is from RNAcentral. Lineage: Eukaryota; Metazoa; Mollusca; Bivalvia; Mytilida; Mytilidae.
GUCCUACUAGCAUUCGUGACAUAUAUUCCUACAGUCAUUUUACAGAUUUUGCUCACAUUCUCGUGGUAUUUUGUCUGAUGCUUCUGUGUGUGUUACGUUUCGGUGUUGUGUCGUUGUUCUCCUCUUAUAUUUAAUGCGUUUCCCUCGGUUUUAGUUUGUUACCCCGAUUUUGUUUUUUGUCCCUGGAUUUAUGAGUUUUGAACAGCGGUAUACUACUGUUGCCUUUAUUUGUAACAAAGUGCCUCACAGAAGCAAAUGAGUACGGAUCGGAAAGUAUUGCAUUUCCAGCACUAGGUACAGGUAUCCUAAAGUUUCCGUCUGAUAUUGCAGCCUCUUUUUUUAUUAGAGCAACUAAAGACUUUAUUCAUAAACAUCCUCGAACAUCGAUCACUGACAU